UGAUAGAGACGGGGCGGACCAGGUG
This 25-nucleotide microRNA is filed under the name Equus caballus (horse). RNAcentral describes it as "eca-miR-8978". Lineage: Eukaryota; Metazoa; Chordata; Mammalia; Perissodactyla; Equidae. The record is from miRBase by way of RNAcentral.